RNAcentral lists this ribosomal RNA (530 nucleotides) under uncultured prokaryote. Its description in RNAcentral is "bacterial SSU rRNA". It matches the Rfam family "Bacterial small subunit ribosomal RNA", at positions 355 to 896 of the family's 1533-position model. The record is from RNAcentral.
UGGGGAAUAUUGGGCAAUGGGCGCAAGCCUGACCCAGCGACGCCGCGUGAGGGAUGAAGGUCUUCGGAUUGUAAACCUCUUUCAGUGGGGAAGAAGCGAAAGUGACGGUACCCAAAGAAGAAGCACCGGCUAACUAUGUGCCAGCAGCCGCGGUAAUACAUAGGGUGCAAGCGUUGUCCGGAAUUAUUGGGCGUAAAGAGCUCGUAGGUGGUUGAUCACGUCGGAUGUGAAAUUCUGAGGCUCAACCUCGGACCUGCAUUCGAUACGGGCAAACUAGAGUGUGGUAGGGGAGACUGGAAUUCCUGGUGUAGCGGUGGAAUGCGCAGAUAUCAGGAGGAACACCAAUGGCGAAGGCAGGUCUCUGGGCCAUUACUGACACUGAGGAGCGAAAGCGCGGGGAGCGAACAGGAUUAGAUACCCUGGUAGUCCGCGCCGUAAACGGUGGGCACUAGUUGUGGGAACCUUCCACGGUUUCCGCGACGCAGCUAACGCAUUAAGUGCCCCGCCUGGGGAGUACGAUCGCAAGAUUA